GAUGAACGCUGGCGGCGUGCCUAACACAUGCAAGUCGAACGGAGUUAUUAAGCGGAAGUUUUCGGAUGGAAGGUUAAUGACUUAGUGGCGGACGGGUGAGUAACGCGUGGGUAACCUGCCUCAUACAGGGGGAUAACAGUUGGAAACGACUGCUAAAACCGCAUAAGCAUACACUGUCGCAUGACAGAGUGUGAAAAUUUAUAUAGGUAUGAGAUGGGCCCGUCUGAUUAGCUAGUUGGUGGGGUAAGGCCUACCAAGGCGACGAUCAGUAGCCGGCUUGAGAGAGUGACCGGCCACAUUGGGACUGAGACACGGCCCAAACUCCUACGGGAGGCAGCAGUGGGGAAUAUUGCACAAUGGGGGAAACCCUGAUGCAGCGACGCCGCGUGAGUGAAGAAGUAUUCGGUAUGUAAAGCUCUAUCAGCAGGGAAGAAAAUGACGGUACCUGACUAAGAGACCCCGGCUAACUACGUGCCAGCAGCCGCGGUAAG
RNAcentral lists this ribosomal RNA (491 nucleotides) under uncultured bacterium. RNAcentral describes it as "bacterial SSU rRNA". It matches the Rfam family "Bacterial small subunit ribosomal RNA", at positions 28 to 524 of the family's 1533-position model. The record is from RNAcentral.